RNAcentral lists this long non-coding RNA (673 nucleotides) under Equus asinus (donkey). RNAcentral's name for it is "lncRNA (ENSEASG00005032870.1)". The record is from RNAcentral. Lineage: Eukaryota; Metazoa; Chordata; Mammalia; Perissodactyla; Equidae.
CUGGGGUGUGAGGAGACUGGAAGGCCGAAGAGCCAGAGGGACAGGAAAUGAAGGCAGGACCUCAUUGAAAGCAUUCGCUCCAAGGUCCAGAAAGCAAGCAGGGCCUCAUGGACUGAGGGCCGAGGGAGAGAUCAGAGACUUAAACCCUCCCCAGAACAAAGAGCCCAGUUACAAGAAGUGGGAGAGCCAGAAGGAGGAAUUUUGGAAUUCAAGAGCUCCAAAAAUAAACCUUUUCCUUUUAUCACUUUUCUCUUUUUACUUUCGUUGCUCUCAACUUGCUUUUUUUCUAAUUCUAACAAUUCUACAGGCAGCCAGAAGUGUGAAGAAAAUAAAGCAACUAGAGGUUUUUGCGAAGCUGAUGUGCUCAUUCCGCUUUUAGCCCACUGGUUUCAAAGGGAGGCGCACACGCACUCUUUCCACAUGAUCCAGUCAUGGAUUCAGACCGCAGGCCAAGGCCACAAGCAACAGUGCCCUGCUACAUCUGCCUCGGCCCCUGGCGGCUGCCUUCCAAGAAGUGCUGGAACAGCGGAAGCAGCUAGCAGCGCGGAUUGCUGCAUUUAACGCAGAAGUGCUGUCAGCAGGCAGGAAAGGGAACCUUCACCCCUGACCACUCCCAGGACCAGCGCCCCUAUCCGCAGUGAGCCAAGAACAUUCUUUCACUCUAGUCCUUGAA